GAUGAACGCUGGCGGCGUGCCUAAUACAUGCAAGUCGAGCGAACGGACGAGAAGCUUGCUUCUCUGAUGUUAGCGGCGGACGGGUGAGUAACACGUGGAUAACCUACCUAUAAGACUGGGAUAACUUCGGGAAACCGGAGCUAAUACCGGAUAAUAUUUUGAACCGCAUGGUUCAAAAGUGAAAGACGGUCUUGCUGUCACUUAUAGAUGGAUCCGCGCUGCAUUAGCUAGUUGGUAAGGUAACGGCUUACCAAGGCAACGAUGCAUAGCCGACCUGAGAGGGGGUAGGCCGACAGGGAGAGUGGAACGCGACCCAGGGUCCGAGGGGAGGCACAAGCGGGGACGGGAGGGAGAAGGGGGGAAGCUUGACGAAGGAGCGCCGGGGGGGUGAAGAGGGGCUGCGGGGGGGAAAACUGUGUUAGGGGGGAAAAACAUUUUUGUAAGGAACGAAGCUUUUUGUGACGGUACCUAGACAAAAAGCACCGGCUAACUACGUG
This 497-nucleotide ribosomal RNA is filed under the name uncultured bacterium. RNAcentral describes it as "partial 16S ribosomal RNA". It matches the Rfam family "Bacterial small subunit ribosomal RNA", at positions 28 to 507 of the family's 1533-position model. The record is from RNAcentral.